RNAcentral lists this long non-coding RNA (262 nucleotides) under Brassica napus (rape). RNAcentral describes it as "long non-coding RNA (BNAP_LNC011226)". The record is from RNAcentral. Lineage: Eukaryota; Viridiplantae; Streptophyta; Magnoliopsida; Brassicales; Brassicaceae.
GUUCAAAGAAAUUAGAGAAAGUUUGGAGAGUUUUGGAACGAGAAACAUUACAUUUUUGUUGUAUCCAUUUGAGAUGAAGAAAGAAAAUGUGUAAAUUUUCUUUAUAAAUAGAAACAAAAAUUUCAAUAAGAUUAAAUUUUUUCGAUUCAGAAGACUUUCAAGUAAGUAUUCUAAUAUAAGACUUCCUAGAAACUUACUUGAAAAUCUUUUAGAAGCUAGAAUAUUUUUAGCGGGAAACUAAAAUAUUUUAACGGGAGACUAA